AUGAUGUUGACUAGGUUGAGGACAUGAUAGUGGCAAUGAAGAAGGUUGCUGUAAUGCUGUUGGACGAAGUUGUUAAGUCUCAACAUGGCUGCUCUGUGGUGGUAUUGUCUGGCAUUAUCACUGGAACUGGCUGUGUCUUUGUGGUCAGUGGCUUAGACCUUAAAAGGUCUGGAACUAAAGAUAUUUCUUUAUUACGAUUAUAAAAAUCGGUACACAGAAUUACAAAUACAGGACAUACAUACAAAAACAUUUAAGAGAAUCGUUUAAAAAUUGUUAACCUCCUCCACACAAGGUAGUUGGGCCUCUUUGGACACGAUGAGGGUGACGUCAUCCGCGUAAGCAGUCACCGUCCUCCCACCUCCGAUUUCAUCCGAGUUAGGUCUGGAACUAAAGAUUCCGGAACAAGGAAAAGCUGAGUUUUAUAAGGAGGUG
This 432-nucleotide long non-coding RNA is filed under the name Octopus vulgaris (common octopus). Lineage: Eukaryota; Metazoa; Mollusca; Cephalopoda; Octopoda; Octopodidae. The record is from RNAcentral.